AACGGUCUAUACCUGCGGUACCUGCGGAGGGAUCAUCAAAAAAAGAGAAGGGGUGAAAGUUUCUUCAUCCUCUCUUUUUUAUUAAUUUUUUCUUUCUUUCCCCCUUUUUAUUAUAUACUCCUUCCUAGGAGUUGUAAUUAGAGAAAAAGGGGGUAAAGAAAAGAAACUUGUCGACUUCUUGUUGUCCCCUUUUUAGGAGAGUUUCUUUUAAAAAGGGGGGGAGACCCUUUUCCCUCUCCA
RNAcentral lists this unclassified non-coding RNA (240 nucleotides) under soil metagenome. RNAcentral's name for it is "partial contains 5.8S ribosomal RNA, internal transcribed spacer 2, and large subunit ribosomal RNA". The record is from RNAcentral.